UACGUAGGGCGCAAGCGUUGUCCGGAAUUAUUGGGCGUAAAGAGCUCGUAGGCGGUCUGUUGCGUCCGCUGUGAAAACUCGGGGCUUAACCCCGAGCCUGCAGUGGAUACGGGCAGACUAGAGGUAGGUAGGGGAGAAUGGAAUUCCCGGUGUAGCGGUGAAAUGCGCAGAUAUCGGGAGGAACACCAAUGGCGAAGGCAGAUCUCUGGGCCGUAACUGACGCUGAGGAGCGAAAGCAUGGGGAGCGAACAGG
RNAcentral lists this ribosomal RNA (253 nucleotides) under uncultured bacterium. RNAcentral's name for it is "partial 16S ribosomal RNA". It matches the Rfam family "Bacterial small subunit ribosomal RNA", at positions 524 to 776 of the family's 1533-position model. The record is from RNAcentral.